Biomphalaria glabrata is the source of this 4358-nucleotide long non-coding RNA. RefSeq lists it as uncharacterized. The transcript is spliced from 5 exons. The record is from RefSeq and is a predicted model, not a curated record. NCBI's taxonomy places the organism in Eukaryota, Metazoa, Mollusca, Gastropoda, Planorbidae.
UCAUAUUACCAAAAUCAAUGGGAUUGCUCUACACAUGUAUUAGUAUUUCUUCUGAGUCAUGCGAUUCAUGUGGUUUUCAUGUUUACAUCUCUUGACAUGCAAAGCUUGAAAUGUUAGUUUCUAGAUCUAGAGAAACUAGAUUUAUUGUCUUGUAGUUUGUAGCUACUCACACAAGCCGCCAUAUUAAAAUUAUUUUUGGAGUUUGCACUAUUGACAUAUAUAUGUGUCCAUUUUCUGUUUCGUUUUUCGUAGAUAUCAGAUUCAAAACAAUUUAAUCUUGCAAUGUUAACACUUAAAACUUAGCUAAAUUUUUUUAUAAUUUAGAUUUAUAAUCAUUUCUAAAUUUAUUUAUUCUGUUGAACCUGUUUUUCUACUUGACUAAUGGAUGAUGUGCACUAGUUUUAUACUUUUGUACCAGUAGAUUCUGUAUAUGCUUUAUAGGUCUAUACUCUUAAACAUACUAUUUAUAAAAAUAUAUUUUGAUACUUUUUUUUUCUAUCUAGACUACUUCAAUGUGUAAGUAAUACUAGAUCUACAAUAGAAUAGCACAGACUAACUUUAGACCUGUAUUACUUAUGCGGAUAAGAUCUAUUGGAUAUUCAUCUGAACUAUUUCUGAUAUUAUGCCAAGACCAAGAAAGAGCUCAUCCUUUAAAAAGGUGGAGGACACUGUUUUGUACAAGUUUCUCAUUGAACAUUUUGACUACUCCAAACUUGGAUCAGAUGAUCCUAAUAAACUAUGCCUCAAAGGACAUGUCCUCCUAAUUUAUCUCCAAAACCAUUGUUGCAAAACAUCUGCUGCUGAAAUUGUUGCUUCAACUUUUGGAUUCCCAUUUACCCCAUAUUUAAUUUCCAAGGUUCAUAAUUUAAUUGAAUAUACAAUUAAAAAGUAUAAAAAGAAAAUUACAAGUUAUUUGACAGAAAUUCAAAAAAUUGGCUCUGAAAUAUUUUACGAGUUACCUGUUCCAAGCACAACAGCUAGCUCCUAUCCCUGAUUCAUCUGCUCCUAUCCCUGAUUCAUCUGCUCCUAUUCCUGAUUCAUCUCCAACAAAAGCUACAGAAAGUUCAAAUAUAAUUCAGCCAAUUGAACAAAAGCCAGUUUCAUCAAAUUUAAGAAGUAAUGAUGAACUACACCCUCGUGUUCAAAAAUUAAAAAUGCGUCUUUCUUUCCUGUCUCGUGCAAGAAGUGAAGAAAAAAUUAAAUAUAGAAAUAAAAUUAAGAUUCAAACCAAACUAAUUAAAAAUCUUAGACAGGCAGUUCGAAGAAAAGAUGAAAGAAUAACAAAUCUAUUGAGUGAAAGAAAAGUUAAAUCUGAUAAACAGGAUUUUUCUCAAAAUCAGAGCACUACUUCUAACACAAAAGAAGAAACAAAAACUUUGGAAGAUAAUUGAAAUGCUUACCUCCCUUUUAUCCAUAAAUAAAAAGGUCUUUUUUUUUUUAAAUAAGACUUAUGUUAUUAGUAGUUUUUAUAUAUGACACUUGCACUUAACCCCUACAACAUUUCACAUGAGCCUUGUCGUGCUUCCUGUUUCAAAUUAUCCCUCAAAUAUCAACUUACCCUUCAUCAAAACCAUUGAUCACCAAUAGAUCAUCACCUGUGUCUUCAUCAAAUUCAGUUGUCAGUUGAAUGUCAUUUGAUUUACUGGUAUUCAGUCAUGCCUCAAUCAUCAGAAAGUCUAGCUUCAUUUCUGUGUCGUCACACUCAACCACUAAUCAGCAACAUUAUUUGCCUUGUAGCAUCAGUAGAUUGACACUAUCACAUAUCAAUAUGUUGCACGUCAUGUUAUCCAGCUGUCUGUUUACUUUGCCAUUGCAAACAAAUCAUCCCUAACUUCACAUUGUAUAUCAAGUUAUCUGUACAAAUCACCAAAAGAAAUUUUGUUCUUUACUACUUCGUCCCAUGUAGGAUCUACAACAGAAUCUACUACCUAUACCACUGAAGUAUUUUUUAAGAGGAACUUGUGAACUAGCAAACUGUUCUUUCAUUAUUCACCUAGAGAUAUCAAGAUUGACCACUGCAACCUUUUAUAACACAAAGUAACUUAAAGCCUGUAAUACUCAAACACAUACAAUCUGUUUUGUAUUCAUAUGAACUAUUUCUGCUAUCAUGCCAAGACAAAGAAAAAAAAGGAGUUCAUCCCUUAAGAAGGUGGAGGACACUAUUUUGUACAAGUUUCUCAUUGAACAUUUUGACUACUCCAAACUUGGAUCAGAUGAUCCCAAUAAACUAUGCCUCAAGGGACAUGUCCUUCUAAUUUAUCUGCAAAAUCAUUCGUCCCAAACAGCAGCUGCUGAAUUCCUGGCUUCUACUUUUGGAUUCCCUUUUUCCCCAUUUUUAAUUAGCAAAGUUCAUUAUCUAAUUGAGUGUACCUUUGCUAGGUAUAAAAGUAAUAUUACUAAAUAUAUGACAGAAAUUCAAAACAUUGGUUCUCAGAUUUUUUACCAAUUACCAAGCACAACUUCUCCUAACCCUGAUCAAAUUCCUAGGAUAGCUACAGAAAUUUCAGAUGUUAUUCAACCAACUGAUCAAAACCCUGUUUCAUCAAAUUUGAGAAGUAAUGCUGAAUUAAACCCCCGUAUAAGAAAAUUAAAGAUGCGCCUCUCUUUCCUGUCCCAAGCAAGAAGUGAAGAUAAGAUUAAAUACAGAACUAAACUCAAGUCUCAAUCUAGAUUGAUUAAAAAUCUUAGAGAGUCAGUUCGGAGAAAAGAUGAAAGAAUUAAAAAGCUUUUAAAUAAAUUAAAGAAAAGAAAAGUUAAAUCUGGGGAACUAGAAAAUUGUCAAGUUCAAAGCUCUACAAAAGAUUGCUUAAUUCAGAACACCACAGUCGACACUAAGGAAGAAGAAACAAUAAGAGCUAAUGAAGAAAAUUGAGCGUCAAAAGAUUGUAUUAAAAAUUACUAGUUUCACAUAACAAUCACACAACCUAUUGUCCUUUUACUGUAACACUUGAACUUGUCAUUCUGUGUAUUUAUUUUUCAAAUAUUAGCUUUGCUAUAAUCUAGUAAAAAUUGGACUUCAUCAUACAUAUAUAUUUCUAGUUUGGACUUUUUAAAACCAGUGGUGGAGAUUACAUGUUUCUACAUUGAAUCCAGCUGUUACUUGAACGUCACCUGAUUUACUGUUUAUCAAAAAGUCAUCUCUCACUUAUUCAUCAUUGGGUCUACCGGUACUUCGUUAAUAUGUUGCCGUACCCAUCACUUCUGCUCUGCAAUAUUUUGUCAACACUGUUUCUUGUAUCAUCGGUACAGUGGACAAUCACACCUCAAUGUGUUGUACGUCAUGUUAUCCAGCUGUCAUUUCUACGUUGUCAUUGAAAUAAUUCUAGACUUCUCUUUAUAUCAAGUCUGAUUGUUCAAGUUAUCUUUGCAAAUCUCCACAGGAAAUAGUUGCACUUUGUAUUGAAAGGUUAUAAAAAGCAUACCAUACUGGGUAAAAAAAAAGAAUGCACCUUUGAAGAAAAAUGAUGUUAUUGAUCUUCUCAAUUGUGAAGUGAUAGCAACUUCUGCUGACCAGAGUUAUAAGAAGCUCAUUGACCAGAACGACUUGCAUAUUUCUGCUAUCAGGUCACAAAUUUUCUUUUAAUCAAUGAUUGUUGUGAAAGUAAUACAAUCUAAAGGUUUCAUUUUCAUGCUGGCCCACACCUAACUGCUGGGUUCCAUGUAUAUACAUCUCGGUAGCAGAAAAAUUAAAAACUGUAAGCUGAUUCUAUUAUCAUCUUUAUUGACUGACUCACUCCACCAGGAAAGAAUCUUCAUACAUAACAUCCGCUCCAGUCAUAGCACAGAAGAUCACAGACAAACAAACUACAAUGUGAAAGACAAUGGUAACAUUUUGACUUUUCCAAAACAAAACGAUGAAGCAUCACAAUGCUAGAAAUGUGAGAUGGUAAUGUUACUUUGGACAGCAUUCUUUUUCCUUUCUUUUGAAUUCUUUUUGUUUAUUCUUUUUAAUAUACAUAUAUUUGUUAUUAGUGCUUAUAAUUAUAGUAUUUUAAAUUGCAAAGUCUGCCUGCUUCCAGGUCCUGGUGAAUGAAUGAUGAGAUGAAUUUGUGAAAAUCACUUUUGUCACCAAAUAACUAAAACUAUCAAUCAUCUGUCAAUCACUCAUUAUACCUUUCUGCAACCAAGCACACAUAUGUCAUGCUCUCAAUCUUUCCUGACUACUUUAUACAUUUUAUUUUUACCCACACCCUCAUUUUUAACACUUGCAAAAUCCUUUAUCUAACUAGGCAGUUCUUAUUGUUCCUAUCUAAAUGAAAAAAAUAAUGCUGGGUACCAGCUUUAUAAGCUUUAAGAAGGAAAUAGGCCACAAAACCAGACCAGUGGCAGAUCAGGGAUGUCUGUCCGGGGGGGGGGGG